RNAcentral lists this ribosomal RNA (608 nucleotides) under Pleurotus pulmonarius. RNAcentral describes it as "LSU rRNA". It matches the Rfam family "Eukaryotic large subunit ribosomal RNA", at positions 66 to 681 of the family's 3401-position model. Lineage: Eukaryota; Fungi; Basidiomycota; Agaricomycetes; Agaricales; Pleurotaceae. The record is from RNAcentral.
CCAUACCCAUUCCCUAGUACUGCGAGUGAGCGGGAAAAGCUCAAAUUUAAAAUCUGGUGGUCUUUGGCCAUCCGAGUUGUAAUCUAGAGAAGUGUUAUCCGCGCUGGACCGUGUACAAGUCCCCUGGAAUGGGGCGUCAUAAAGGGUGAGAAUCCCGUCUUUGACACGGACUACCAGGGCUUUGUGAUGCACUCUCAAAGAGUCGAGUUGUUUGGGAAUGCAGCUCAAAAUGGGUGGUAAAUUCCAUCUAAAGCUAAAUAUUGGCGAGAGACCGAUAGCGAACAAGUACCGUGAGGGAAAGAUGAAAAGAACUUUGGAAAGAGAGUUAAACAGUACGUGAAAUUGUUGAAAGGGAAACGCUUGAAGUCAGUCGCGUCUGCCAGGGAUCAACCUUACUUUUGUGAGGCGUACUUCCUGGUUGAUGGGUCAGCAUCAGUUUUGGUCGCUGGAUAAAGGUCAGAGAAAUGUGGCACCUUCGGGUGUGUUAUAGUCUUUGAUCAGAUACAGUGGCUGGGACUGAGGAACUCAGCGCCGCAAGGCUGUCUUAGGAUGCUGGCAAAAUGGCUUUAAUCGACCCGUCUUGAAACACGGACAAAGGAAGUCAGUCA